AGUGAACGCUGGCGGUAGGCCUAACACAUGCCAGUCGAACGGCAGCACAGUAAGAGCUUGCUCUUACGGGUGGCGAGUGGCGGACGGGUGAGGAAUACAUCGGAAUCUACUUUUUCGUGGGGGAUAACGUAGGGAAACUUCCGCUAAUACAGCAUACGUCCUACGGGUGAAAGCAGGGGAUCUUCGGACCUUGCGCGAUUGAAUGAGCCGAUGUCGGAUUAGCUAGUUGGCGGGGUAAAGGCCCACCAAGGCGACGAUCCGUAGCUGGUCUGAGAGGAUGAUCAGACAGACUGGAAGUGAGACACGGUCCAGACUCCUACGGGAGGACGCAGUGGGGAAUAUUGGGCAAUGGGGGCAAGCCUGAUCCAGCCAUACCGCGUGGGUGAAGAAGGCGUUCGGGUUGGAAAGCCCUUUUGUUGGGAAAGAAAAGCAGCAGGUUAAUACCCCGCUGUUCUGACGGUACCCAAAGAAUAAGCACCGGCUAACUUCGUG
Molecule: ribosomal RNA, 492 nt
Filed under: uncultured bacterium
Lineage: Bacteria
Description: partial 16S ribosomal RNA
Rfam family: Bacterial small subunit ribosomal RNA
Source: RNAcentral